AUUGAACGCUGGCGGCAGGCUUAACACAUGCAAGUCGAGCGGGGGAAGGUAGCUUGCUACCGGACCUAGCGGCGGACGGGUGAGUAAUGCUUAGGAAUCUGCCUAUUAGUGGGGGACAACAUCUCGAAAGGGAUGCUAAUACCGCAUACGUCCUACGGGAGAAAGCAGGGGAUCUUCGGACCUUGCGCUAAUAGAUGAGCCUAAGUCGGAUUAGCUAGUUGGUGGGGUAAAGGCCUACCAAGGCGACGAUCUGUGGCGGGUCUGAGAGGAUGAUCCGCCACACUGGGACUGAGACACAGACCAGACUCCUACGGGAUGCAGCAGUGGGGAAUAUUGGACAAUGGUGGGAACCCUGAUCCAGCCAUGCCGCGUGUGUGAAGAAGGCCUUAUGGUUGUAAAGCACUUUAAGCGAGGAGGAGGCUACUCUAGUUAAUACCUAGGGAUAGUGGACGUUACUCGCAGAAUAAGCACCGGCUAACUCUGUGCCAGCCGCCGCAGUAA
RNAcentral lists this ribosomal RNA (501 nucleotides) under uncultured bacterium. RNAcentral's name for it is "partial 16S ribosomal RNA". It matches the Rfam family "Bacterial small subunit ribosomal RNA", at positions 30 to 523 of the family's 1533-position model. The record is from RNAcentral.